Long non-coding RNA from Aplysia californica (California sea hare), 1912 nucleotides. RefSeq lists it as uncharacterized. The record is from RefSeq and is a predicted model, not a curated record. The transcript has 3 exons. Lineage: Eukaryota; Metazoa; Mollusca; Gastropoda; Aplysiida; Aplysiidae.
GUAUAAAUACACACGUCAUGCAAGUAGUUCUCCUCUGACCUUUGCACCACUCAACGCUGCUGCGCGACUCGUCUGCUCGGGAGACAAAGUAGAGCUCACUGAUUUCGCGGGCCACGUAGACGAACAUCUGAAAACAAGUAACGAACCCUGCUCAGAACACCGAGACACACAGACUCUGUCGACACAAUGAACUCUCCCGUGACGUGGUCAAUCCUUGUGGUCUGCGCUGUCUGCUUGCUGAUGACGUCAUCCGUCCAAGCGUCACCCAGACUUCUGAAAAACCAGCUGAUGCAAGCGGCAAGCCACCAGUCCCGGAACUCGCCGUAUAUGGAGGUCGCCGACCGCCUGCUCCGCCGUAUUCUGGACGUGACUUACGAGACUCUUGAGGACAUGGGCGCCACCAAGGAGGAACUGGCCACUGUCCAGCGGAAGCGGAACUACAUCCAGACCUGCUACUUCCAGGCCAUCUCCUGUUACUGACACGCCCCACCUUUCGCCUGUCGGUCUCGUCCUCCGCGAGAUAGAUGGAUUCUUCUGGGGGGGCUCGGGCUGUUGCGGUAUCCACACGUCUUUUAUCUUUUGGGCAACUUACAGACGAUGGCAUGAGAUCAAGACAGUUGGUUGUGUCGAAAGGGGAGGAAAAAACCCACCUACAUUUAACAUAGAAAAAUGAAAUUGAAAACAUGAAACGAAACAAGGCAAAACGGAAGAGCUGAUUUGUUCCCUAUGAUAAAAGUUAGUAACAAUUAUUUGAAAUUCUGAAGUUCUAUUUCCGGGUCGUUUUUAGAUUGCAAGCAAGCAAGAGGACUAUUCUUCAGAAUUUGAAUCUAGUUCAUUGCUAGUGAAAAUGUACAAGCAAGAUGUAAGGGCUUUUCUAAAAUCUUUCGUGACUUUGACAUCCUUAAAAAUGUUGGCUCGCUGUCAAGCUUAGGUCGAAACGUUGAGAUAAUAACGACUUACUCUGAUGCUGGUGUUGUUUGUAUCUAUGAAAAACUACGAUAUCUGCUAUAACAUUCAAGACUAUGUAUUGUACGUUAUUGUUUUGGGUGACUUUUUAAAGUUAAAAAAUGCUGAACAUACGUAUAUAUUUUCGAAAUACCGAGGGCCCAUAAAAAAUAUGCAGACUUUAAUUAAGCUUGUAAAGUUCAAUCCUUUCUUAAAUCAGUUUUGUAAUGCAAUACUUCAUUUCAGUCGUGAAUAUCAAUGAAAAAUACGUCUCCAGCUGUGUGUUAUAGCCCCCCCCCCCCACCCCACAGACAUACAUACAUUCUUUUUCUCUUAGUAUCUUGACUGGCUGUUAUAGAUAGUUUUCUUCGUUUCGUGAUAAUUUCUGGCCUCUUAGAAGUCGGCACGAUUACUGGAAAAUGCAUUUAAAAAAAAUAAAUCUGUUCCUCAUUUAUCAGAAAUACCUGAUCCCUCUACUACUACGGUAUCCUCAUACAUCAAAUCUUCACCGUUUUCUUUAACAAAUUGAUGGGUAAUACAUGUUUGUAGCUUGAACCCAAUCAUUUUUUAGAAGCAGAAAAUACCGACGUUUUCAACUAAAUUUGUCGUGACGAGACAGAGAUUCGGCUUAUUACAUAACUUAUAAAAGUUAACAUCUUCAUGCAAGUUUCAUUAUUUAGACGAUAUCAUUAAUUUUAUUCCCUUCCGUCUUGUUAGCCAAAAUAACGAAUGUAGGUUUUUUCUUCUUCUUCAAGGAAUUCAGUUUCUUUAAAUGAAAUAUUGUCGGAAUGUAAAAGUUUGAUGCCGUUUUUAAAAGAGGUCUGUGAUAGUAAUUGUUAGCAAUAUAAUCUACCAAAAGUGUGUUUUUUAAGCACUCUCAUUAUAACAACUUUGACUGAUUUAAAUGGAAAGGUAUACCAUCUCCAUGUCAUGUGCUCCGCCCAUAAAAAAUCGACUUGAAACGAAA